GACGAACGCUGGCGGCGUGCUUAACACAUGCAAGUCGAACGGUGAAGCGCCUUCCUUUUUGGUGGGUGUGGAUGAGUGGCGAACGGGUGAGUAACACGUGAGUAACCUGCCCCCUUCUUCUGGAUAACCGCAUGAAAGUGUGGCUAAUACGGGAUAUCCUGGGUCUGUCGCAUGAUGGGUCUGGGAAAGAUAUUGUUUCGGUGGGGGAUGGGCUCGCGGCCUAUCAGCUUGUUGGUGGGGUGAUGGCCUACCAAGGCGGGGACGGGUAGCCGGCCUGGGAGGGUGGACGGUCACACUGGGACUGAGACACGGCCCAGACUCCUACGGGAGGCAGCAGUGGGGAAUAUUGCACAAUGGGCGCAAGCCUGAUGCAGCGACGCCGCGUGAGGGAUGGAGGCCUUCGGGUUGUGAACCUCUUUCGCCAGUGAAGCAGGCCUGCCUCGUUUGUGGGUGGGUUGACGGUAGCUGGAUAAGAAGCGCCGGCUAACUACGUG
Molecule: ribosomal RNA, 494 nt
Filed under: uncultured bacterium
Lineage: Bacteria
Description: partial 16S ribosomal RNA
Rfam family: Bacterial small subunit ribosomal RNA
Source: RNAcentral